RNAcentral lists this ribosomal RNA (253 nucleotides) under uncultured bacterium. Its description in RNAcentral is "partial 16S ribosomal RNA". It matches the Rfam family "Bacterial small subunit ribosomal RNA", at positions 524 to 776 of the family's 1533-position model. The record is from RNAcentral.
GACGGAGGGGGCAAGCGUUGUCCGGAAUUACUGGGCGUAAAGCGCGCGUAGGCGGACUGGAAAGUCAGGGGUGAAAUCCCGGGGCUCAACUCCGGAACUGCCUUUGAAACUCCCAGUCUUGAGGUCGAGAGAGGUGAGUGGAAUUCCGAGUGUAGAGGUGAAAUUCGUAGAUAUUCGGAGGAACACCAGUGGCGAAGGCGGCUCACUGGCUCGAUACUGACGCUGAGGUGCGAAAGCGUGGGGAGCAAACAGG